RNAcentral lists this ribosomal RNA (253 nucleotides) under uncultured microorganism. RNAcentral describes it as "partial 16S ribosomal RNA". It matches the Rfam family "Bacterial small subunit ribosomal RNA", at positions 524 to 776 of the family's 1533-position model. The record is from RNAcentral.
UACGGAGGGGGCGAGCGUUGUUCGGAGUUACUGGGCGUAAAGCGCACGUAGGCGGUGCGGUAAGUCAGGGGUUAAAGGCUGCAGCUCAACUGCAGUAAGGCCUUUGAUACUAUCGUGCUAGAGUGUCAGAGAGGAUGGCGGAAUUCCCGGUGUAGCAGUGAAAUGCGUAGAGAUCAGGAGGAACACCGAUGGCGAAGGCAGCCCUCUGGGCCUGUACUGACACUGAGGCGCGAAAGCGUGGGGAGCAAACAGG